Molecule: ribosomal RNA, 497 nt
Filed under: uncultured bacterium
Lineage: Bacteria
Description: partial 16S ribosomal RNA
Rfam family: Bacterial small subunit ribosomal RNA
Source: RNAcentral
GAUGAACGCUGGCGGCGUGCCUAAUACAUGCAAGUCGAGCGAACAGAUAAGGAGCUUGCUCCUUUGACGUUAGCGGCGGACGGGUGAGUAACACGUGGGUAACCUACCUAUAAGACUGGGAUAACUUCGGGAAACCGGAGCUAAUACCGGAUAACAUUUGGAACCGCAUGGUUCUAAAGUGAAAGAUGGUUUUGCUAUCACUUAUAGAUGGACCCGCGCCGUAUUAGCUAGUUGGUAAGGUAACGGCUUACCAAGGCAACGAUACGUAGCCGACCUGAGAGGGUGAUCGGCCACACUGGAACUGAGACACGGUCCAGACUCCUACGGGAGGUAGCAGUAGGGAAUCUUCCGCAAUGGGCGAAAGCCUGACGGAGCAACGCCGCGUGAGUGAUGAAGGGUUUCGGCUCGUAAAACUCUGUUAUUAGGGAAGAACAAAUGUGUAAGUAACUGUGCACGUCUUGACGGUACCUAAUCAGAAAGCCACGGCUAACUACGUG